RNAcentral lists this ribosomal RNA (491 nucleotides) under uncultured bacterium. RNAcentral describes it as "partial 16S ribosomal RNA". It matches the Rfam family "Bacterial small subunit ribosomal RNA", at positions 29 to 506 of the family's 1533-position model. The record is from RNAcentral.
AGUGAACGCUGGCGGUAGGCCUAACACAUGCAAGUCGAACGGCAGCACAGUAAGAGCUUGCUCUUACGGGUGGCGAGUGGCGGACGGGUGAGGAAUACAUCGGAAUCUACUUUUUCGUGGGGGAUAACGUAGGGAAACUUACGCUAAUACCGCAUACGACCUACGGGUGAAAGCAGGGGAUCUUCGGACCUUGCGCGAUUGAAUGAGCCGAUGUCGGAUUAGCUAGUUGGCGGGGUAAAGGCCCACCAAGGCGACGAUCCGUAGCUGGUCUGAGAGGAUGAUAAGCCACCUGGAACUGGGAAAAGGGUCCAGACCCCAAGGGGGGGAAGCGGGGGGAAAUUUUGGAAAAGGGGGGAAACCCGGAACCACCCAACCCGGGGGGGGGAAGAAGGCCUUGGGGUUUAAAAGCCUUUUUGUGGGGAAAAAAAAGAAGCAGGUAAAAACCCCGCUUUUCGGGGGGAACCAAAAAAAUAACCACGGGCUAAUUUCGU